AUGUUGUAUGAAAGGAGAGAAGGUUAGCCCUCUCCUUGACAAGAAUGGAAGAGGUCCUCAGACCUUGCAACAUGCAUAUGGUUAAGGCAUUGCUGCCUAUUUUGUGGAAUCUAACCAUAGUUUUUG
Small nuclear RNA from Trichechus manatus latirostris (Florida manatee), 126 nucleotides. The record is from RefSeq and is a predicted model, not a curated record. Lineage: Eukaryota; Metazoa; Chordata; Mammalia; Sirenia; Trichechidae.